Molecule: ribosomal RNA, 527 nt
Filed under: uncultured bacterium
Lineage: Bacteria
Description: partial 16S ribosomal RNA
Rfam family: Bacterial small subunit ribosomal RNA
Source: RNAcentral
GGGGAAUAUUGGACAAUGGGGGCAACCCUGAUCCAGCAAUGCCGCGUGUGUGAAGAAGGUCUUCGGGUUGUAAAGCACUUUCGACGGGGACGAUGAUGACGGUACCCGUAGAAGAAGCCCCGGCUAACUUCGUGCCAGCAGCCGCGGUAAUACGAAGGGGGCUAGCGUUGCUCGGAAUGACUGGGCGUAAAGGGCGUGUAGGCGGUUUACACAGUCAGAUGUGAAAUCCCCGGGCUUAACCUGGGAGCUGCAUUUGAUACGUGUAGACUAGAGUGUGAGAGAGGGUUGUGGAAUUCCCAGUGUAGAGGUGAAAUUCGUAGAUAUUGGGAAGAACACCGGUGGCGAAGGCGGCAACCUGGCUCAUGACUGACGCUGAGGCGCGAAAGCGUGGGGAGCAAACAGGAUUAGAUACCCUGGUAGUCCACGCUGUAAACGAUGUGUGCUAGAUGUUGGGUAACUUUGUUAUUCAGUGUCGCAGUUAACGCGUUAAGCACACCGCCUGGGGAGUACGGCCGCAAGGUUGAAAC